RNAcentral lists this ribosomal RNA (254 nucleotides) under uncultured bacterium. RNAcentral's name for it is "partial 16S ribosomal RNA". It matches the Rfam family "Archaeal small subunit ribosomal RNA", at positions 474 to 727 of the family's 1478-position model. The record is from RNAcentral.
CCCCGGCGCCACAAGUGUUUAUCACGAUUAUUGGGCCUAAAGCGUUCGUAGCCGGUCUGGUAAAUCUCUUGUGAAAUUGUUCUGCUUAACAGGACAGCGUGCAGGAGACACUGCCAGACUCGAGACCGGGAGGCGCAAGAAGUAUGUCAUGGGGACUGGUAAAAUGGGAUAAUCCAUGAUAGACUACCGAUGGCGAAGGCAUCUUGCGAGAACGGAUCUGACGGUGAGGAACGAAAGCCAGGGGAGCGAACCGG